AGUGAACGCUGGCGGCAGGCCUAACACAUGCAAGUCGAACGGCAGCACAAGAGAGCUUGCUCUCUGGGUGGCGAGUGGCGGACGGGUGAGGAAUGCAUCGGAAUCUGCCCAUUUGUGGGGGAUAACCUCGGGAAACCGGGACUAAUACCGCAUACGACCUACGGGUGAAAGCAGGGGAUCUUCGGACCUUGCGCGGAUGGAUGAGCCGAUGCCGGAUUAGCUAGUUGGAGGGGUAAAGGCCCACCAAGGCGACGAUCCGUAGCUGGUCUGAGAGGAUGAUCAGCCACACUGGGACUGAGACACGGCCCAGACUCCUACGGGAGGCAGCAGUGGGGAAUAUUGGACAAUGGGCGCAAGCCUGAUCCAGCCAUGCCGCGUGUGUGAAGAAGGCCUUCGGGUUGUAAAGCACUUUUGUUGGGAAAGAAAAGCAGCCGGUUAAUACCCGGUUGUCAUGACGGUACCCAAAGAAUAAGCACCGGCUAACUUCGUG
Molecule: ribosomal RNA, 490 nt
Filed under: uncultured bacterium
Lineage: Bacteria
Description: partial 16S ribosomal RNA
Rfam family: Bacterial small subunit ribosomal RNA
Source: RNAcentral